AGCACUUAAAUUUGUUUUUGUAUGUCUUGUAGACAAAGACACAGAAAAGUACAAAAAAUAAGUCCUCUUUUGCAACCCAGAACUCAUUGUUUAGUAUGAGUUUUGAUACAUAUAAGAAGGAAUAUU
This is a small nucleolar RNA of Tupaia belangeri (northern tree shrew), 126 nucleotides long. The record is from Ensembl. Lineage: Eukaryota; Metazoa; Chordata; Mammalia; Scandentia; Tupaiidae.